This 446-nucleotide ribosomal RNA is filed under the name uncultured bacterium. Its description in RNAcentral is "partial 16S ribosomal RNA". It matches the Rfam family "Bacterial small subunit ribosomal RNA", at positions 338 to 795 of the family's 1533-position model. The record is from RNAcentral.
CCUACGGGAGGCUGCAGUCGAGAAUCAUUCACAAUGGGGGAAACCCUGAUGGUGCGACGCCGCGUGGGGGAAUGAAGGUCUUCGGAUUGUAAACCCCUGUCAUGUGGGAGCAAAUUAAAAAGAUAGUACCACAAGAGGAAGAGACGGCUAACUCUGUGCCAGCAGCCGCGGUAAUACAGAGGUCUCAAGCGUUGUUCGGAAUCACUGGGCGUAAAGCGUGCGUAGGCUGUUUCGUAAGUCGUGUGUGAAAGGCGCGGGCUCAACCCGCGGACGGCACAUGAUACUGCGAGACUAGAGUAAGGGAGGGGUAACCGGAAUUCUCGGUGUAGCAGUGAAAUGCGUAGAUAUCGAGAGGAACACUCGUGGCGAAGGCGGGUUCCUGGACAUUAACUGACGCUGAGGCACGAAGGCCAGGGGAGCGAAAGGGAUUAGAUACCCGUGUAGUC